CCAGCGCCUCUACCGGAAUCGGAAGCUGUGGGUGCGCGCCGGGGGGACGGCUUUGUAGCCACGUAGCUUUCGGCUUUGCCUCCUGCCAUGUCCCACAGGCCUGGAGAAUGUGGCCCCAGACUGAAAUGAGGAGAAGGUGGCCCCGCCGAGGGUUGUGUCAACUGUUGGGGUGAUCAGACCCAACACCAGGCCCGUGGGGGCUAUGAAGUCUGGCGGAGUCAAAGGAAUGAGAAAAGACAAGAGAGAAAGUGGGACCAUGGGGCCAACACUAGUGUGGAGGCUGCAAAGGCUCCGAGUUCUGGGAGCCUAUUUAUUGCUGGUUGCAGUGUUUGAUGAGCAAGAUCUACAUCAUGGAGGUGAUGACACCAGUGCCAGCUCCAUGCAUAGCCAGAGC
Non-coding RNA from Macaca mulatta (Rhesus monkey), 394 nucleotides. NCBI's taxonomy places the organism in Eukaryota, Metazoa, Chordata, Mammalia, Primates, Cercopithecidae. The record is from RefSeq and is a predicted model, not a curated record.